GUUAGUGGAGACGGGUGAGUAUGCGUAGGAAUCUACCUAGUAGUACGGAAUAGCCAUUAGAAAUGGUGGGUAAUACUGUAUAAUCCCCGAGGGGGAAAGAUUUAUCGCUAUUAGAUGAGCCUACGUUAGAUUAGCUAGUUGGUGAGGUAAUGGCUUACCAAGGCUAUGAUCUAUAGCUGGUCUGAGAGGACGAUCAGCCACACUGGAACUGAGAUACGGUCCAGACUCCUACGGGAGGCAGCAGUGGGGAAUAUUGGACAAUGGGCGAAAGCCUGAUCCAGCUAUGCCGCGUGAGUGAAGAAGGCCUUCGGGUUGUAAAACUCUUUCAAUAGGGAAGAUAAUGAGGGUACCUAUAA
Molecule: ribosomal RNA, 356 nt
Filed under: Ehrlichia canis
Lineage: Bacteria; Pseudomonadati; Pseudomonadota; Alphaproteobacteria; Rickettsiales; Anaplasmataceae
Description: bacterial SSU rRNA
Rfam family: Bacterial small subunit ribosomal RNA
Source: RNAcentral